RNAcentral lists this ribosomal RNA (380 nucleotides) under uncultured archaeon. RNAcentral's name for it is "bacterial SSU rRNA". It matches the Rfam family "Archaeal small subunit ribosomal RNA", at positions 343 to 727 of the family's 1478-position model. The record is from RNAcentral.
GACCUCUGCAAUGCGCGAAAGCGCGACAGGGCCACCCCGAGUGCUAGACGCUGAGUCUAGCUUUUCCUUAGUGUAGUAAGCUAGGGGAAUAAGCGGGGGGCAAGCCUGGUGUCAGCCGCCGCGGUAAUACCAGCUCCGCGAGUGGUCGGGACGAUUAUUGGGCCUAAAGCGUCCGUAGCCGGCCUAGCAAGUCUCUGGUUAAACUUCAAGGCUUAACCUUGAGAUUGCUGGAGAUACUGCUAGGCUAGGGGGCGGGAGAGGUUGAGGGUACUUCACGGGUAGGGGCGAAAUCCUAUAAUCCGUGAAGGACCACCAGUGGCGAAGGCGCUCAACUGGAACGCGCCCGACGGUGAGGGACGAAAGCCAGGGGAGCAAAGGGG